This 79-nucleotide ribosomal RNA is filed under the name Gracilibacter sp. BRH_c7a. Its description in RNAcentral is "partial 16S ribosomal RNA". It matches the Rfam family "Bacterial small subunit ribosomal RNA", at positions 1 to 76 of the family's 1533-position model. Lineage: Bacteria; Bacillati; Bacillota; Clostridia; Eubacteriales; Gracilibacteraceae. The record is from RNAcentral.
UUUUUUAUGGAGAGUUUGAUCCUGGCUCAGGACGAACGCUGGCGGCGUGCCUAACACAUGCAAGUCGAACGGAGUUAUU